Molecule: ribosomal RNA, 360 nt
Filed under: uncultured soil bacterium
Lineage: Bacteria
Description: bacterial SSU rRNA
Rfam family: Bacterial small subunit ribosomal RNA
Source: RNAcentral
ACAGGUGCUGCAUGGCUGUCGUCAGCUCGUGUCGUGAGAUGUUGGGUUAAGUCCCGCAACGAGCGCAACCCUUGUCCUAUGUUGCCAGCACGUAAUGGUGGGGACUCGUAGGAGACUGCCGGGGUCAACUCGGAGGAAGGUGGGGACGACGUCAAGUCAUCAUGCCCCUUAUGUCCAGGGCUGCAAACAUGCUACAAUGGCCAGUACAAAGGGCUGCGAAACCGCGAGGUCGAGCGAAUCCCACAAAGCUGGUCUCAGUUCGGAUCGGAGUCUGCAACUCGACUCCGUGAAGCUGGAGUUGCUAGUAAUCCCGGAUCAGCAACGCCGGGGUGAAUACGUUCCCGGGUCUUGUACACACGC